GAUGAAGAACGCAGCGAAAUGCGAUACGUAGUGUGAAUUGCAGAAUUCAGUGAAUCAUCGAAUCUUUGAACGCACAUUGCACCUCUCGGUAUUCCGGGAGGUAUGCCUGUUCGAGCGUCAUUUGUACCCUCAAGCUCUGCUUGGUGUUGGGUGUUUGUUCCGCCUCUGUGUGUGAACUCGCCUCAAAACAAUUGGCAGCCGGCGUACUUGUUUCGGAGCGCAGCACAUUUUGCGAUCCAGAUCAACGUACAGCGGCAUCCAAGAAGCCUUAUUUAACGCUCUUGACCUCGGAUCAGGUAGGGAUACCCGCUGAACUUAAGCAUAUCAAUAAGCGGAA
Molecule: unclassified non-coding RNA, 337 nt
Filed under: soil metagenome
Description: partial contains 5.8S ribosomal RNA, internal transcribed spacer 2, and large subunit ribosomal RNA
Rfam family: 5.8S ribosomal RNA (bases 1-120)
Source: RNAcentral